GAUCCUGGCUCAGGAUGAACGCUAGCUACAGGCUUAACACAUGCAAGUCGAGGGGCAGCGGGAUUGAAGCUUGCUUCAAUUGCCGGCGACCGGCGCACGGGUGAGUAACGCGUAUCCAACCUUCCGUACACUCAGGGAUAGCCUUUCGAAAGAAAGAUUAAUACCUGAUGGUAUGAUGAGAUUGCAUGAUAGCACCAUUAAAGAUUUAUCGGUAUACGAUGGGGAUGCG
This 229-nucleotide ribosomal RNA is filed under the name uncultured bacterium. RNAcentral's name for it is "partial 16S ribosomal RNA". It matches the Rfam family "Bacterial small subunit ribosomal RNA", at positions 15 to 235 of the family's 1533-position model. The record is from RNAcentral.